This 626-nucleotide ribosomal RNA is filed under the name Cryptococcus sp. KBP 3850. Its description in RNAcentral is "eukaryotic LSU rRNA". It matches the Rfam family "Eukaryotic large subunit ribosomal RNA", at positions 51 to 663 of the family's 3401-position model. Lineage: Eukaryota; Fungi; Basidiomycota; Tremellomycetes; Tremellales; Cryptococcaceae. The record is from RNAcentral.
CGGAGGAAAAGAAACUAACAAGGAUUCCCCUAGUAACGGCGAGUGAAGCGGGAAGAGCUCAAAUUUGAAAUCUGAUGGCCUCAGGCUAUCCGAGUUGUAAUCUAUAGGAACGUUUUCCGUGCCGGCUCAUGUACAAGUCCCUUGGAACAGGGCGUCAUAGAGGGUGAGAAUCCCGUACUUGACAUGAACUACCGGUGCUCUGUGAUACGUCUCCAACGAGUCGAGUUGUUUGGGAAUGCAGCUCAAAAUGGGUGGUAAAUUCCAUCUAAAGCUAAAUAUUGGUGUGAGACCGAUAGCGAACAAGUACCGUGAGGGAAAGAUGAAAAGCACUUUGGAAAGAGAGUUAAAAAGUAUGUGAAAUUGUUGAAAGGGAAACGAUUGAAGUCAGUCAUGUCCUUCAGAUUCAGCUGGUUCUGCCGGUGUAUUUCUGUUGGAUGGGGUCAACAUCAGUUUUGGAUGCCGGAUAAAGGCUGGAGGAAGGUAGUACCCCCGGGUAAACUUAUAGCCUCCUGUCGCAUACGGUGACCGGGACUGAGGAACGCAGCUUGCCUUUAUGGCCGGGGUUCGCCCACGUACAAGCUUAGGAUGUUGACAUAAUGGCUUUAAACGACCCGUCUUGAAACACG